GUGUUCGCUUCAAAAACACGUAUACUAAACCUGGAACAAUCCAGAGAAGAUGAGCAUGGCUCCUGCAAAAGAAUGACAUGCAAAUUCAUGAAGUGUUCCAUAUUGUA
Molecule: small nuclear RNA, 107 nt
Organism: Jaculus jaculus (lesser Egyptian jerboa)
Lineage: Eukaryota; Metazoa; Chordata; Mammalia; Rodentia; Dipodidae
Source: Ensembl